RNAcentral lists this ribosomal RNA (250 nucleotides) under uncultured bacterium. RNAcentral's name for it is "partial 16S ribosomal RNA". It matches the Rfam family "Bacterial small subunit ribosomal RNA", at positions 524 to 773 of the family's 1533-position model. The record is from RNAcentral.
UACGGGGGGUGCAAGCGUUGCUCGGAAUCACUGGGCGUAAAGCGUCCGCAGGCGGCUUGGUAAGUCGGGUGUGAAAUCCCGGGGCUCAACCCCGGAACUGCAUUCGAAACUGCCUGGCUUGAGUACGGGAGAGGGUCGUGGAAUUCCUGGUGUAGAGGUGAAAUUCGUAGAUAUCAGGAGGAACACCGGUGGCGAAAGCGGCGACCUGGCCCGAUACUGACGCUCAUGGACGAAAGCGUGGGGAGCAAAC